This 400-nucleotide ribosomal RNA is filed under the name uncultured bacterium. RNAcentral describes it as "bacterial SSU rRNA". It matches the Rfam family "Bacterial small subunit ribosomal RNA", at positions 355 to 772 of the family's 1533-position model. The record is from RNAcentral.
UUAGGAAUAUUGGACAAUGGGGGAAACCCUGAUCCAGCCAUGCCGCGUGUGUGAUGAAGGCCUUAGGGUUGUAAAACACUUUCGGCUGUGAAGAUAAUGACAGUAGCAGAAGAAGAAGCUCCGGCUAAAUUCGUGCCAGCAGCCGCGGUAAUACGAAUGGAGCGAGCGUUGUUCGGAAUCACUGGGCGUAAAGCGUGCGCAGGCGGUUGUGAAAGUCAGGAGUGAAAUCCCAGGGCUCAACCCUGGAAUUGCUCUUGAAACUCCACAACUAGAGUACUGGAGGGGUUAGCGGAAUUCCGAGUGUAGCAGUGAAAUGCGUAGAUAUUCGGAGGAACACCAAUGGCGUAGGCAGCUAACUGGACAGUAACUGACGCUCAUGCACGAAAGCGUGGGGAUCAAA